UACGGAGGGUGCAAGCGUUGUCCGGAAUCACUGGGCGGAAAGGGCGCGUAGGCGGUUCCUUAAGGGGGUGGUGAAAGCUCAGGGCUCAACUCUGAGUCGGCCAUGCGAACUGGGGGACUCGAGCACUGUAGAGGCAGGUGGAAUUCCGGGUGUAGCGGUGGAAUGCGUAGAGAUCCGGAAGAACACCGGUGGCGAAGGCGGCCUGCUGGGCAGUAGCUGACGCUGAGGAGCGAAAGCGUGGGGAGCGAACAGG
Molecule: ribosomal RNA, 253 nt
Filed under: uncultured bacterium
Lineage: Bacteria
Description: partial 16S ribosomal RNA
Rfam family: Bacterial small subunit ribosomal RNA
Source: RNAcentral